This 349-nucleotide unclassified non-coding RNA is filed under the name soil metagenome. RNAcentral describes it as "partial contains 5.8S ribosomal RNA, internal transcribed spacer 2, and large subunit ribosomal RNA". The stretch from base 1 to 119 matches the Rfam family "5.8S ribosomal RNA", at positions 35 to 154 of the family's 154-position model. The record is from RNAcentral.
GAUGAAGAACGUAGCGAAAUGCGAUAAGUAAUGCGAAUUGCAGAAUCCGUGAGUCAUCGAAUCUUUGAACGCACAUUGCGCCCGCCAGUAUUCUGGCGGGCAUGCCUGUUCGAGCGUCAUUUCAACCCUCAAGCCCAGCUUGGUGUUGGGGAUCGGCACAGGCGCCCUCGGGCGCCCGCCGUCCCCUAAAUCUAGUGGCGGUCCCGUUGCAGCCUCCUCUGCGUAGUAGUUUUCUCCUCGCAAGGGCAGCUCGGUGGCGACCUCGCCGUAAAACCCCCAACUUCUGAAAGGUUGACCUCGAAUCAGGUAGGAAUACCCGCUGAACUUAAGCAUAUCAAUAAGCGGAGGA